UACGUAGGGGGCGAGCGUUGUCCGGAUUUACUGGGCGUAAAGAGCGCGUAGGCGGUCUGCCAAGUCUUGCGUUAAAUACCCCGGCUCAACCGGGGGGUGUCGUGGGAUACUGGUGGACUCGAGGCCGGAAGGGGGAAGUGGAAUUCCCGGUGUAGUGGUGGAAUGCGUAGAUAUCGGGAGGAACACCAGUGGCGAAGGCGGCUUCCUGGUCCGGUCCUGACGCUGAGGCGCGAAAGCGUGGGGAGCGAAC
This 250-nucleotide ribosomal RNA is filed under the name uncultured bacterium. Its description in RNAcentral is "partial 16S ribosomal RNA". It matches the Rfam family "Bacterial small subunit ribosomal RNA", at positions 524 to 773 of the family's 1533-position model. The record is from RNAcentral.